Molecule: ribosomal RNA, 1448 nt
Filed under: Limosilactobacillus fermentum
Lineage: Bacteria; Bacillati; Bacillota; Bacilli; Lactobacillales; Lactobacillaceae
Description: bacterial SSU rRNA
Rfam family: Bacterial small subunit ribosomal RNA
Source: RNAcentral
UGCAAGUCGAACGCGUUGGCCCAAUUGAUUGAUGGUGCUUGCACCUGAUUGAUUUUGGUCGCCAACGAGUGGCGGACGGGUGAGUAACACGUAGGUAACCUGCCCAGAAGCGGGGGACAACAUUUGGAAACAGAUGCUAAUACCGCAUAACAGCGUUGUUCGCAUGAACAACGCUUAAAAGAUGGCUUCUCGCUAUCACUUCUGGAUGGACCUGCGGUGCAUUAGCUUGUUGGUGGGGUAAUGGCCUACCAAGGCGAUGAUGCAUAGCCGAGUUGAGAGACUGAUCGGCCACAAUGGGACUGAGACACGGCCCAUACUCCUACGGGAGGCAGCAGUAGGGAAUCUUCCACAAUGGGCGCAAGCCUGAUGGAGCAACACCGCGUGAGUGAAGAAGGGUUUCGGCUCGUAAAGCUCUGUUGUUAAAGAAGAACACGUAUGAGAGUAACUGUUCAUACGUUGACGGUAUUUAACCAGAAAGUCACGGCUAACUACGUGCCAGCAGCCGCGGUAAUACGUAGGUGGCAAGCGUUAUCCGGAUUUAUUGGGCGUAAAGAGAGUGCAGGCGGUUUUCUAAGUCUGAUGUGAAAGCCUUCGGCUUAACCGGAGAAGUGCAUCGGAAACUGGAUAACUUGAGUGCAGAAGAGGGUAGUGGAACUCCAUGUGUAGCGGUGGAAUGCGUAGAUAUAUGGAAGAACACCAGUGGCGAAGGCGGCUACCUGGUCUGCAACUGACGCUGAGACUCGAAAGCAUGGGUAGCGAACAGGAUUAGAUACCCUGGUAGUCCAUGCCGUAAACGAUGAGUGCUAGGUGUUGGAGGGUUUCCGCCCUUCAGUGCCGGAGCUAACGCAUUAAGCACUCCGCCUGGGGAGUACGACCGCAAGGUUGAAACUCAAAGGAAUUGACGGGGGCCCGCACAAGCGGUGGAGCAUGUGGUUUAAUUCGAAGCUACGCGAAGAACCUUACCAGGUCUUGACAUCUUGCGCCAACCCUAGAGAUAGGGCGUUUCCUUCGGGAACGCAAUGACAGGUGGUGCAUGGUCGUCGUCAGCUCGUGUCGUGAGAUGUUGGGUUAAGUCCCGCAACGAGCGCAACCCUUGUUACUAGUUGCCAGCAUUAAGUUGGGCACUCUAGUGAGACUGCCGGUGACAAACCGGAGGAAGGUGGGGACGACGUCAGAUCAUCAUGCCCCUUAUGACCUGGGCUACACACGUGCUACAAUGGACGGUACAACGAGUCGCGAACUCGCGAGGGCAAGCAAAUCUCUUAAAACCGUUCUCAGUUCGGACUGCAGGCUGCAACUCGCCUGCACGAAGUCGGAAUCGCUAGUAAUCGCGGAUCAGCAUGCCGCGGUGAAUACGUUCCCGGGCCUUGUACACACCGCCCGUCACACCAUGAGAGUUUGUAACACCCAAAGUCGGUGGGGUAACCUUUUAGGAGCCAGCCGCCUAA